GCUUUGGAAGGAGAUAGGUGGCUUCAUCAUAGAUGUGACUAUGCUGUAAAAAUAUUUAAUGUGUACAGCAUGAUUGCUAGCCAGUUGGCUAGAAGGGCAUUGAUGCAAAAGGCCAGCAUGUUAGCCGACCAGGCUAUACUUUGAAAGCCCAGUGCCUAACAGUGAACGCAAAAUUAAAUCCUCGUUUCAAAGGAUGAGGAGCAGUUAGGUUUGUUUUUUUUUAAUUUGUAGGACAUAUAAAGUGACCUGCUGUCAGGCAGAGGAAAUGAAAGAAGGAUGAGACAGACAACUGGAAGUGCAGGUGGUUUUACUGCUUUUGUGAUGAAACUGUCUUCUGCCUUUGAUUCCUUUAAGGGGAGCAUGCAGUUCAGCAAACCCCUACUUUAUUUCAGUGCAUGCAAAGAUUACGGCGGCAUCCAAAGGAAGAACAAAUGGAAGUGAGAUUUUAGGGUCACAACAGAUAAAUGCCCUUGAAAGCACAGCUCUGAUUCCAUGGAAAGAGUGAAACAGGCAGGCUGAGUUUUGUCUGGUGCAGCAGUGAGUUCCUGUUCCAGCCUGAGGAGAUCGGUUCCCAAAACGUCCCUGAUGACCUGUGAAGCUUCUCUGUCAGUGGAAACAACAAGAAGGGGUGAGUGACCUAUAGCAUCACCUGCCUUUGCUUUCAGUGACAGAUGCUAAUGCACAGCAUCCUGCUGCAUAGAGGGAGGCGUAACUCACACUUUUGCCUCCCAAAGUGCUUCCAGCCAAAUGCCUGUCAUUAUCAAUACAGCUGUCAUGCUUAUCCUUGUGGGUAAGAGCUAAUGGUGGGU
Molecule: long non-coding RNA, 809 nt
Filed under: Numida meleagris (helmeted guineafowl)
Lineage: Eukaryota; Metazoa; Chordata; Aves; Galliformes; Numididae
Description: lncRNA (ENSNMEG00000014461.1)
Source: RNAcentral